GGGCCUGCAGGUACUCCAGCACCACGGCCUGCUCGCACUCUGCCAGCAGUAGCUGCGGACCCCAGAUUUGGCGGCGGGGAGAGAGAAGGUCCCGCAGCGGCUCCAGUGCCCGGGAAACCUCAGCCCCGCUCCCCAAGGCCCCUCGGGCUGCAGCCAGCGCCUCCCGGAUGUCCCGGACCUCCUCUAGGGCCUGCCUCAGGUGGCCCAGGCCUCCCUGCACCCCCUCCAGUGCCCACUUGCCCACUACUACCUCUCCAGCACUUGUAUGCCUCCUCAGCAGGUAAGUUCUCUCAACCUGCUGGGCACUUCGGGACAUAUCCUACACACCCUGUUAAGUACUAACUCAUGUCCAUAACACCUUUUCUUUCCUAGCUGUACUGUCAGUCAUUCAGUUCAGUGGUACUUAUCGAGCACUUAUGGUGUGCGGAGCACUGUAUUAAGAACUUAGGAGA
Ornithorhynchus anatinus (platypus) is the source of this 452-nucleotide long non-coding RNA. RefSeq lists it as uncharacterized. NCBI's taxonomy places the organism in Eukaryota, Metazoa, Chordata, Mammalia, Monotremata, Ornithorhynchidae. The record is from RefSeq and is a predicted model, not a curated record. The transcript has 3 exons.